CCUACGGGAGGCAGCAGUAGGGAAUAUUGCUCAAUGGGGGAAACCCUGAAGCAGCAACGCCGCGUGGAGGAUGAAGGUCUUCGGAUUGUAAACUCCUUUUGUUAGAGAAGAUAAUGACGGUAUCUAACGAAUAAGCACCGGCUAACUCCGUGCCAGCAGCCGCGGUAAUACGGAGGGUGCAAGCGUUACUCGGAAUCACUGGGCGUAAAGAGCGCGUAGGCGGGAUAGCAAGUCAGAUGUGAAAUCCUAUGGCUUAACCAUAGAACUGCAUUUGAAACUGUUAUUCUAGAGUAUGCGAGAGGUAGGUGGAAUUCUUGGUGUAGGGGUAAAAUCCGUAGAGAUCAAGAAGAAUACUCAUUGCGAAGGCGACCUGCUGGAACAUAACUGACGCUGAUGCGCGAAAGCGUGGGGAGCAAACAGGAUUAGAUACCCUAGUAGUC
This 440-nucleotide ribosomal RNA is filed under the name uncultured bacterium. RNAcentral describes it as "partial 16S ribosomal RNA". It matches the Rfam family "Bacterial small subunit ribosomal RNA", at positions 338 to 795 of the family's 1533-position model. The record is from RNAcentral.